Molecule: long non-coding RNA, 1608 nt
Filed under: Olea europaea subsp. europaea
Lineage: Eukaryota; Viridiplantae; Streptophyta; Magnoliopsida; Lamiales; Oleaceae
Source: RNAcentral
GUUUUCACAACCUGUUCAUCAAACUGGUUCUUCUACAGUGCUCUCGACCGCCAAAGAAAUCUUCACUACACCCACUACUUCUCAACACUGUCAGAUCCCUGCGAAACCAUAAGAAGAAGAAACUCCUCUGCUAACGGAAGCGGUGUUGGAGGCGUGAUCUUUGGCACUCAGACGCUGAAUCUUCUCCAUCUCAUAUUAAUCGGCCCAGUGAUCGAAAACUCUAUCAAAACUUCAUAACUUCCCAUAGGGCAAACUCGCUCUUUCUCACUCGGCCAUGUGGAGAAAUUCGCUGAGUUUUUCAUCCAAACUCGCACGCUCCAAUUCGAAUUAUUAACUCCACUCUUGUUCCGCACUUCCUCAAAACCUUCUUAUCGUGGCCUUCCUAGCCGAUCUAAUUCCACAAGCCUACAGUCCACAUUGACAGCCGUUCCGGUAGGUGGUCCGAUUUCGGUGUGGAAGGCUAGGGAUGUGGCGUAAUUGGCCAAGCAUUGCGACUUCUGUUAUUGGGAGCUCUCAAAAGCUCAUCUGAGGUGUGUUUAAACUGGUUUACACCUUUAUUUUUUUUUUUCCAACAAAUUUCAAUUUUGAGAUGUUGGAAUUUCGUGACCUCAAGCAUAAUGCUUGAAACGUAGAUCCAUCUUAUUGGAGAAAUUGGUUGGUUUAGAACAUAUUUUAAGCGCAUUUUGCGGUCAAAUUGCUCAAUUUUCUGGUUGCUAAUGGAUUUCUAAUAUUUGUUUUUGCUAAUUGAAACGUGCUAUUAAUGUACUUUGUGAUGUGUAUUUGAGAGCUUCGGCAAUAUGUUCAGAUUUCAAAGAGCAAAUGUAAAAAUAAAAGAAGGCCUAUUGACUGUGAUUACCCUAUAUGUAUGUCUGUUUGCAAUAGUUUUUGUCACUUAAAAUAGAUCAAAGCUACUUUUAUUUGACAUAACUGGCUGAAGAAUUUACAACUUCUGCAUUUGGAGUAGAGGCCCUACAGGGUAAGGGAGAGAAAGGUAGUAGUUGAUAAUCUGCACAACAUGCUACCUACAAUGCAUAGUUUUGUCCAUUUUCCUCCACUCUACUAUAAUUAAUUAUGAACUUUUUGUGCUUCCAGUCCUCAACUCUACUGCUGCCGCCGGCGGGUCGCCUUGAACAGGCAAGCAAUUUUGAUUUGCAUACACAUGGAAGAAUGUAUUCUUCAUUUGUUUAUUUUUUAUUUUUUUGUAAUAAAAGUGUUAAAAGUGCUGAUUUUAUUUUUUUUAUUUUUUAUUUUUUACAGGUUAUCUUGUUAAGUUGAAUUUUCUUCAAUUAACAUUGUGAUGUUAAAUUUCUUAUGUAAUAUGCCAGAAGUCAUGUCCUUAUUGGAACAGGUAAAAAUGGCCGGACAGUAGAACUUUCUCGCAAUUCUAGGGGUGAAAGUGGUGGUGGUGGCUAUUGUGGAGGGCAUGGUCAUUCUGGUUCUGACUCGAAAUGCUACGAGUGUGGUGAGCCUGACCAUUAUGCCCGUGAGUGCAGGAACUGUAGAGUUUCUGGAAGGCAUAAGGGUCAUACUCUCCCUAGAUAUUGCUGAAGCCCAAGCUAUCGUAGAAGGUAAUAUAUAUUAGGUUGCUAGGUUUUUGGUUUUUGGGAA